Molecule: ribosomal RNA, 1079 nt
Filed under: Bacillus pumilus
Lineage: Bacteria; Bacillati; Bacillota; Bacilli; Caryophanales; Bacillaceae
Description: bacterial SSU rRNA
Rfam family: Bacterial small subunit ribosomal RNA
Source: RNAcentral
GCAAGUCGAGCGGACAGAAGGGAGCUUGCUCCCGGAUGUUAGCGGCGGACGGGUGAGUAACACGUGGGUAACCUGCCUGUAAGACUGGGAUAACUCCGGGAAACCGGAGCUAAUACCGGAUAGUUCCUUGAACCGCAUGGUUCAAGGAUGAAAGACGGUUUCGGCUGUCACUUGCAGAUGGACCCGCGGCGCAUUAGCUAGUUGGUGGGGUAAUGGCUCACCAAGGCGACGAUGCGUAGCCGACCUGAGAGGGUGAUCGGCCACACUGGGACUGAGACACGGCCCAGACUCCUACGGGAGGCAGCAGUAGGGAAUCUUCCGCAAUGGACGAAAGUCUGACGGAGCAACGCCGCGUGAGUGAUGAAGGUUUUCGGAUCGUAAAGCUCUGUUGUUAGGGAAGAACAAGUGCGAGAGUAACUGCUCGCACCUUGACGGUACCUAACCAGAAAGCCACGGCUAACUACGUGCCAGCAGCCGCGGUAAUACGUAGGUGGCAAGCGUUGUCCGGAAUUAUUGGGCGUAAAGGGCUCGCAGGCGGUUUCUUAAGUCUGAUGUGAAAGCCCCCGGCUCAACCGGGGAGGGUCAUUGGAAACUGGGAAACUUGAGUGCAGAAGAGGAGAGUGGAAUUCCACGUGUAGCGGUGAAAUGCGUAGAGAUGUGGAGGAACACCAGUGGCGAAGGCGACUCUCUGGUCUGUAACUGACGCUGAGGAGCGAAAGCGUGGGGAGCGAACAGGAUUAGAUACCCUGGUAGUCCACGCCGUAAACGAUGAGUGCUAAGUGUUAGGGGGUUUCCGCCCCUUAGUGCUGCAGCUAACGCAUUAAGCACUCCGCCUGGGGAGUACGGUCGCAAGACUGAAACUCAAAGGAAUUGACGGGGGCCCGCACAAGCGGUGGAGCAUGUGGUUUAAUUCGAAGCAACGCGAAGAACCUUACCAGGUCUUGACAUCCUCUGACAACCCUAGAGAUAGGGCUUUCCCUUCGGGGACAGAGUGACAGGUGGUGCAUGGUUGUCGUCACCUCGUGUCGUGAGAUGUUGGGUUAAAUCCCCCAACCAGCGCAACCCUUGAUCUAAUUGCC